AAUGAACGCUGGCGGCAUUCCUAACACAUGCAAGUCGAACGAAGGCUUCGGCCUUAGUGGCGCACGGGUGCGUAACGCGUGGGAAUCUGCCCUCAGGUUCGGAAUAACAGCGAGAAAUUGCUGCUAAUACCGGAUGAUAUCGCGAGAUCAAAGAUUUAUCGCCUGAGGAUGAGCCCGCGUAGGAUUAGCUAGUUGGUGGGGUAAAGGCCUACCAAGGCGACGAUCUGUAGCGGGUCUGAGAGGAUGAUCAGCCACACUGGGACUGAGACACGGCCCAGACUCCUACGGGAGGCAGCAGUGGGGAAUGUUGGACAAUGGGCGCAAGCCUGAUCCAGCAAUGCCGCGUGAGUGAUGAAGGCCUUAGGGUUGUAAAGCUCUUUUACCCGGGAUGAUAAUGACAGUACCGGGAGAAUAAGCUCCGGCUAACUCCGUGCCAGCCGCCGCGGUAA
Molecule: ribosomal RNA, 449 nt
Filed under: uncultured bacterium
Lineage: Bacteria
Description: partial 16S ribosomal RNA
Rfam family: Bacterial small subunit ribosomal RNA
Source: RNAcentral